GACGAACGCUGGCGGCGUGCUUAACACAUGCAAGUCGAACGGAAAGGCCCUGCUCUUGGUGGGGGUGCUCGAGUGGCGAACGGGUGUGUAACACGUGGGUGCUCUGCCCUGUACUUCGGGAUCAGCUUGGGACACUGGGUCUUAUACCGGAUAGGAUCCUGGUUCAGUGUGUCAUGGUGGAAAGAUUAUUGUUUUGGUGCAGGCUGAGCUCGCGGCCUCUCAGCUUGUGGGUGGGGUAAUGGCCUACCAAGGCGUCGACGGGUAGCCGGUGUGAGAGGGUGGACGGCCACAUUGGGACUGAGAUACGGCCCAGACUCCGACGGGAGGCAGCAGUGGGGAAGAUUGCACAAGGGGCGCAAGCCUGAUGCAGCGACGCCGCGUGGGCGAUGACGGCCUUCGGGUUGUAAACUCCUUUCGUUAGGGACGAAGCCACGCUUUUUGGGUGUGGUGACGGUACCUUUGUGAAGAAGCACCGGCUAACUACGUG
RNAcentral lists this ribosomal RNA (487 nucleotides) under uncultured bacterium. RNAcentral describes it as "partial 16S ribosomal RNA". It matches the Rfam family "Bacterial small subunit ribosomal RNA", at positions 28 to 507 of the family's 1533-position model. The record is from RNAcentral.